RNAcentral lists this ribosomal RNA (502 nucleotides) under uncultured bacterium. Its description in RNAcentral is "partial 16S ribosomal RNA". It matches the Rfam family "Bacterial small subunit ribosomal RNA", at positions 28 to 507 of the family's 1533-position model. The record is from RNAcentral.
GAUUAACGCUGGCGGCGUGCCUAACACAUGCAAGUCGAGCGGCAGCGAGUUUUACACUGAAUUCUGGAAGCUUCUAGUUGAAAGAGAAGAUUUAUUCAAGAAUUUUGUGUAAAAUGUCGGCGAGCGGCGGACGGCUGAGUAACGCGUGGGAACGUACCCCAAAGUGAGGGAUAACGCAUCGAAAGGUGUGCUAAUACCGCAUAUGGUCUUCGGAUUAAAGCCUUCGGGCGCUUUGGGAACGGCCUGCGUAAGAUUAGAUAGUUGGUGGGGUAAUGGCCUACCAAGUCGACGAUCUUUAACUGGUUUGAGAGGAUGAUCAGUCAGACUGGAACUGAGACACGGUCCAGACUCCUACGGGAGGCAUCAGUGAGGAAUCUUCCACAAUGGGCGAAAGCCUGAUGGAGCAACGCCGCGUGCAGGAUGAAGGCCUUCGGGUUGUAAACUGCUUUUAUAAGUGAGGAUUAUGACAGUAACUUAUGAAUAAGGAUCGGCUAACUACGUG